AUGGUGUAUCUCUGCAGCAUUGGUGCACUUUGUGCAACCAUGCGCAUGUAUCUUACAUUGCUGAUGUUUAACUCCCUCUCAUGCUUGUGCUUGCAGGACAUCUGGCAUCAUAUACAUUCCUUAAUGCCAUUGAAAGAUGCUGCCAGAGCCGCCUGCCUGUCUCGGUCCUUUCUGUCUUCCUGGAGAUGCCAUUCGAUCCUCAUUUUGAACAGGGAAGCAUUUGGGUUGGACGUAUGUGCGGAUCACAAGGAAACAACUAGAACUUUUAGAAGCAAAAUUGACCACAUUCUGGGAAACCACUCGGGUACUGGCGUGAGAAUACUGAAACUUCGGUUAGUUUCAAAUGACAAAGCGAAGAACCGUGAUUAUAUCGACAAAUGGCUUCAUAAGGCUGUUAAACCAGGAAUUGAAGAACUCACCCUUACUAUGCCUAUGAGCAACAAACGCAAAUACGAGUUCCCGUGCACACUUAUAUCAAAUGGGCUGGGAAACUCACUCCAGUGUCUUUACCUUUCCGAUUGUUCCUUUCAUCCUAUGGCUGGGCACUGUGGCUUGAGUAGCCUGACAAAACUAGAGCUGUUAAUGGUGGGUAUCACGGGGGACGAGCUAAGCUGUCUUGUUUCCAGUUCUGCAGCUUUGGAGCAGGUUUUACUCAGGGAUUGCAGUAAGGUACUGCUUGAGGAUACCUUGCCAUCUUGA
This 699-nucleotide ribosomal RNA is filed under the name Triticum aestivum (bread wheat). RNAcentral's name for it is "partial small subunit ribosomal RNA". Lineage: Eukaryota; Viridiplantae; Streptophyta; Magnoliopsida; Poales; Poaceae. The record is from RNAcentral.